RNAcentral lists this ribosomal RNA (1372 nucleotides) under uncultured bacterium. RNAcentral's name for it is "bacterial SSU rRNA". It matches the Rfam family "Bacterial small subunit ribosomal RNA", at positions 28 to 1381 of the family's 1533-position model. The record is from RNAcentral.
GAUAAACGCUGGCGGCGUGCCUAAUACAUGCAAGUCGAGCGAACGGACGAGAAGCUUGCUUCUCUGAUGUUAGCGGCGGACGGGUGAGUAACACGUGGAUAACCUACCUAUAAGACUGGGAUAACUUCGGGAAACCGGAGCUAAUACCGGAUAAUAUUUUGAACCGCAUGGUUCAAAAGUGAAAGACGGUCUUGCUGUCACUUAUAGAUGGAUCCGCGCUGCAUUAGCUAGUUGGUAAGGUAACGGCUUACCAAGGCAACGAUGCAUAGCCGACCUGAGAGGGUGAUCGGCCACACUGGAACUGAGACACGGUCCAGACUCCUACGGGAGGCAGCAGUAGGGAAUCUUCCGCAAUGGGCGAAAGCCUGACGGAGCAACGCCGCGUGAGUGAUGAAGGUCUUCGGAUCGUAAAACUCUGUUAUUAGGGAAGAACAUAUGUGUAAGUAACUGUGCACAUCUUGACGGUACCUAAUCAGAAAGCCACGGCUAACUACGUGCCAGCAGCCGCGGUAAUACGUAGGUGGCAAGCGUUAUCCGGAAUUAUUGGGCGUAAAGCGCGCGUAGGCGGUUUUUUAAGUCUGAUGUGAAAGCCCACGGCUCAACCGUGGAGGGUCAUUGGAAACUGGAAAACUUGAGUGCAGAAGAGGAAAGUGGAAUUCCAUGUGUAGCGGUGAAAUGCGCAGAGAUGUGGAGGAACACCAGUGGCGAAGGCGACUUUCUGGUCUGUAACUGACGCUGAUGUGCGAAAGCGUGGGGAUCAAACAGGAUUAGAUACCCUGGUAGUCCACGCCGUAAACGAUGAGUGCUAAGUGUUAGGGGGUUUCCGCCCCUUAGUGCUGCAGCUAACGCAUUAAGCACUCCGCCUGGGGAGUACGACCGCAAGGUUGAAACUCAAAGGAAUUGACGGGGACCCGCACAAGCGGUGGAGCAUGUGGUUUAAUUCGAAGCAACGCGAAGAACCUUACCAAAUCUUGACAUCCUUUGACAACUCUAGAGAUAGAGCCUUCCCCUUCGGGGGACAAAGUGACAGGUGGUGCAUGGUUGUCGUCAGCUCGUGUCGUGAGAUGUUGGGUUAAGUCCCGCAACGAGCGCAACCCUUAAGCUUAGUUGCCAUCAUUAAGUUGGGCACUCUAAGUUGACUGCCGGUGACAAACCGGAGGAGGGUGGGGAUGACGUCAAAUCAUCAUGCCCCUUAUGAUUUGGGCUACACACGUGCUACAAUGGACAAUACAAAGGGCAGCGAAACCGCGAGGUCAAGCAAAUCCCAUAAAGUUGUUCUCAGUUCGGAUUGUAGUCUGCAACUCGACUACAUGAAGCUGGAAUCGCUAGUAAUCGUAGAUCAGCAUGCUACGGUGAAUACGUUCCCGGGUCU